RNAcentral lists this unclassified non-coding RNA (546 nucleotides) under Hevea brasiliensis (rubber tree). Lineage: Eukaryota; Viridiplantae; Streptophyta; Magnoliopsida; Malpighiales; Euphorbiaceae. The record is from RNAcentral.
GUAUUGGAUGUAUCGUUAGGUUGUCUCGUAGUCGAAAUAAGAAUAGAACGCAAACGAACGGGCAUUUUCGGGGACUAGCUUGUUAAUGCAAUUAGCCAUAACCACCUCGUAUGAGCUAGCUACAGUAUACUCCUUUGCCCGAGCAUCUUUAUCCAGCAAUUAAAAGAAGCAUUCCCAGUAUGACUUUCCUAGCUCUGUGGGAAUAAGCCCGCUAUUGAAUCAGCAGUGAGGGAAUAGCGUACUAACAUCCCUCUAAUCCAGUGACCUUAUCGUCGCUAAAGCUCCUCCCUAAAGAAGUCUUGUUUCUUUCUCCGAGCUUCUGGUUCAAGUAAUGUGAGUAAUAAAAAAUGUAUAUAGAAAGAUUCUUUACAAUAAAAAAUAAAUUUUUUAAGUAGGAAUGUCCGUAAAAACGUCCUCAUCAGUAAAUUGAGGAUAUGUUCAGUUAUCCGGGAGUACCCAAUUAGGGUGUGUAAAAAUACUUUAUUUCGUUGAUUCCGGCUUUCACCGUAUAAACAUUUUACUUCUAUAUAGUAUAUAGAGAGGAUG